This 250-nucleotide unclassified non-coding RNA is filed under the name plant metagenome. RNAcentral describes it as "partial contains small subunit ribosomal RNA, internal transcribed spacer 1, and 5.8S ribosomal RNA". The record is from RNAcentral.
GUAGGUGAACCUGCGGAAGGAUCAUUACCAUAUCCAAAAAACUUUACCAACCCACCGUGUGAACUGUUUUCUUUUUGCUACACUUGGGGUGAGCCGGCCGUUACCCAUGGCCUAAUCUACAAACAUUGGCCUGGUGUCAUGUUUGGAGUGGGCUAUGCGAUGAGGGUUGGGUUGCCCCACCUGUGCGAAAAUUUUCAAAACAACCCCUGGUCAAACCAAAAAAUAUACCCACUCUGAUCUAAUUUUUUUU